UAAGACGAACCGUGCGAACGUUAUUCGGAAUCACUGGGCUUAAAGCGCGUGUAGGCGGGUCGGUGCGUCGGCCGCUGAAAUCCCCCGGCUCAACCGGGGAAGGGGCGCCGAUACGACCGGCCUGGAGCGACGUAGGGGGAACUGGAACUUCCGGUGGAGCGGUGAAAUGCGUUGAGAUCGGAAGGAACGCCCGUGGCGAAAGCGAGUUCCUGGAC
Molecule: ribosomal RNA, 215 nt
Filed under: uncultured bacterium
Lineage: Bacteria
Description: partial 16S ribosomal RNA
Rfam family: Bacterial small subunit ribosomal RNA
Source: RNAcentral